Chrysemys picta bellii (western painted turtle) is the source of this 1997-nucleotide non-coding RNA. Lineage: Eukaryota; Metazoa; Chordata; Testudines; Emydidae. The record is from RefSeq and is a predicted model, not a curated record.
GGCUCUUCUGCCAUGACUACACCCGGGGCGCCAGCCGGCAGAGGGAUGUGGUGAUAGAGCAGAUGGAGCGGGAGGUCUUGGAGGAGACGGCUUUGAGGUGCACCAGGCGCUGACUGGGGUUCUCUGAUCAGUAUCCCCCUCUGGAUCCCUAGUUUUGAACCUGUGAUCUCCACUUCCUGCCCUGGUAUUUCUCAGUUGUCCCACGUAUUUAGUUGAGUCCUGGGUCCAGGGGUUCUUCCCACAUGGCUGAGGAGGGACCCUUAGUGUCCUGGAUUAGGUGAGCAAUGAUGACAUAGCAGUCUCAACUCUUCAUGAAUGGUCCGGUAUUGAUAUGACUGGAGACUGACAUCUGCUUAAUCCACCACAUGCAGCAGCUGUGUGAGCUUGUGCGUAAGAUCCUGUCACUGUGCCUAUUUCCUAACCCGGAGGCCCCAUCUGUGGGGGUCAGAAGGCAGUUCAGUUUCAUACCUGGUGGCUGAGAUAACCAGUUGUGCGCUGGUGACUUCCAGGAUGUAUGGAUAUCUGGAAUUGGACUGAAGCGGGAAGAGACCCUUUGCUGAUGGUAGUACUCAGAAGUUGCUACUGAGAGAGGCUGAGUUCUGACUUGCAGCCUAGAUGUGCAAGGGGCCUUUGUACCAUAGUGCAAAUAACAGGAGUGAUUUUAGGUUUCCAAUUAGCAGUGUAACAAUUAGCUGCUGUUAGUCUCCUCUGAAGCAUAUCUGUACGUAGUGCUGUCUGGAUUUCAGUGACUCUUCCCAGUAGAUAUUGAAAUACAUUAUGUGGGACUGACUGCCCUUUCCAAAGACCACAUGGGAGACUUGACACUGUUCUUCCCUGCAGUAGGGGAUCCAGAAGACGGGCAGCCCAACACAAGAUUGCCCAGCAAUGCAAAUGUUGGACCAGAGCUGAAGCAGUGAGAUGCACAGUCACCUACUGGAAAGGAAGAUGAUCCACCCACCAAAAAAAACAAAACCAGAAAAUAUGCAACCAGCUCCAGAGGUGAUCCCAGAAAUUACAGGCCUGACAACCUGUGAAGAGAACUGCUGGCCAGGUAACAAAGCCAGUUGAGUUCCAUUUCUGCACAGAUGAGAGGAUUAAACAGCACACAGAACGCCCACCUGGGAAUGAAUACAAGAAGCUGGAUUUCGUAGCAGUCCCGAGAAAGUACCCUGCAAUGCUGGUGAACGAGUGCGUCAUCGGAACAGCGCAGGCCAACAGGAAGUGAGGGGUGCCACCAUCCUGGCUUGGCUGCAGGGUGCGGCUGGAGCCCUGUGGGACCAAUGCUUUCUGCACUCACUGGGGCUGUGGGGUGGUGCAUGGGUGUUUGAUGCUGUGACGAAGCAGGGUCUUUCAUCCUGUUAUGUUCCACGUGAAUCUUACUGUUCUAUACUAACACAGUGCGUACCUCCAUUUCCCUGUGUACGGCACCAAUGCCUAGUGGUGGGAAUUGGGUGUGUGACUUUUGCUGAUGCCCUCGGGGCAGGUAAGGCUGCCCAGCUGACUGGAUGAUGGCUUUGUAACCUGAGACCCAGGAGGGGGAUGUGACCAAGUGACACUUUGCCUGGGAAGCAAGACAAAGACCGGAGGAGGAGCAAGGGACCUGGGGGAGGCCAGGCAGCAGGAUCCAGGGCAGUCUGCUGUGGGGGACUGGAAGAGGGGGAGCCCAGGGCCCCCCAAGAUCAGGGGUUCUCAAACUGGGGGUUGGGACCCCUCAGGGGGUCCCAAGGUUAUUACAUGGGAUGGCGCGAGUGGUCAGCCUCCACCUCAAACCCCGCUUUUCCUCCAGCAUGUAUAAUGGUGUUAAAUAUAUAAAAACGUGUUUUAAAUUGAUAAGGGGGGGGGGUCACACUCAGAGGCUUGCUAUGUGAAAGGGGUCACCAGUACAAAAGUUUGAGAACCACUGCCCAAGAUGGACUCGGCUGAAAGUCACUGAUUUCUGUGCUAACAAGAUCUAUUCUACCCUGUGUUCCUGUCGGCUAAUAAACCUUGUUUUGCAA